Neopsephotus bourkii (Bourke's parrot) is the source of this 797-nucleotide long non-coding RNA. RefSeq lists it as uncharacterized. The transcript has 3 exons. NCBI's taxonomy places the organism in Eukaryota, Metazoa, Chordata, Aves, Psittaciformes, Psittacidae. The record is from RefSeq and is a predicted model, not a curated record.
GGUGUUUUCUAUUCUUCGGCUGUGCAGUCAGUACUGCAGCUGUGGCCCUGCUUACCCUGAGUUUUCUGUGACUUUUAGGUGCUCUGAGCCUCGUGUUUGAUGAGUAGUUUGUUCUGGUUUCACAUGCAAGUCAUGUUUCUUGGGUUUAUCAGGUCUGUUCUGAGAAAGAGGAUGUAAUCCUUACAGCAGUGUAUAAAAUUAUCUGAAACUGAUUGAAGGCCAGCUGGAAUUCAGAGCACAGUUUUGUCAGUUUAUCUGAAGUUGAUGAGAAAGAGCUUGGGCUUGCCCUCAGACUAAGAAGUGAUGGGACACAGGUUUGCCAGUUUUCAUGACUGGCUUGCAUGGGGCUUUAUUGCAGGAUCAUUUAGGAUGGAUGCUUUCCCUUUGUUUUAUAUCUUUUCAGAAGUUCUGCAGAUAGCAGCAUUUACAAAUCAAGCUUCCUGUCCAUGCUCUUGCUUCUUUGCAUCAGGUCUGUCUGGCAGCUUCUGAUCAGAUUGUAGUAGUUGGUGUUGUCAGAAGCAACUUUUGUUAUCCUCUCAGCAGAAGUGAUCAGAAAACCAUGGCAGAAGAAAGAUCAGCUGAAUAAGCUUCUAACAGUCUAAUAAGGGAUUCUAGCUUUUGAGUGGAAAUGUGUCUGGGUGUAUUACUGUGAACCUUCCCCCAUUAAAUGAAGAUUCAGGACUUCAAAAUAAAACAUCUCUAAAAGCAUAAGACCACCUCUUUUCUUUGAUAAAUAUGUGAAAAUUCAUGUGAACUGGUGGUCUGUCUAUACAAAUAAAGUGGGAGAGGGAAGAAUA